Molecule: ribosomal RNA, 253 nt
Filed under: uncultured bacterium
Lineage: Bacteria
Description: partial 16S ribosomal RNA
Rfam family: Bacterial small subunit ribosomal RNA
Source: RNAcentral
UACGUAGGGUGCGAGCGUUAAUCAGAAUUACUGGGCGUAAAGUGUGCGCAGGCGGCAGAGCAAGUCGAGUGUGAAAGCCCCGGGCUUAACUUGGGAAUUGCGCUCGAAACUACUUUGCUGGAGUGUGGCAGAGGAAGGUGGAAUUCCACGUGUAGCGGUGAAAUGCGUAGAGAUGUGGAGGAACACCAAUGGCGAAGGCAGCCUUCUGGGCCAACACUGACGCUCAUGCACGAAAGCGUGGGGAGCAAACAGG